This 492-nucleotide ribosomal RNA is filed under the name uncultured bacterium. Its description in RNAcentral is "partial 16S ribosomal RNA". It matches the Rfam family "Bacterial small subunit ribosomal RNA", at positions 29 to 507 of the family's 1533-position model. The record is from RNAcentral.
AGUGAACGCUGGCGGUAGGCCUAACACAUGCAAGUCGAACGGCAGCACAGUAAGAGCUUGCUCUUACGGGUGGCGAGUGGCGGACGGGUGAGGAAUACAUCGGAAUCUACUUUUUCGUGGGGGAUAACGUAGGGAAACUUACGCUAAUACCGCAUACGACCUACGGGUGAAAGCAGGGGAUCUUCGGACCUUGCGCGAUUGAAUGAGCCGAUGUCGGAUUAGCUAGUUGGCGGGGUAAAGGCCCACCAAGGCGACGAUCCGUAGCUGGUCUGAGAGGAUGAUCACCCACACUGGAACUGAGCCACGGUCCAGACUCCUACGGGAGGCAGCAGUGGCGAAUAUUGGACAAUGGGCGCAAGCCUGAUCCAGCCAUACCGCGUGGGUGAAGAAGGCCUUCGGGUUGUAAAGCCCUUUUGUUGGGAAAGAAAAGCAGCAGGUUAAUACCCCGCUGUUCUGACGGUACCCAAAGAAUAAGCACCGGCUAACUUCGUG